UACGUAGGGGGCUAGCGUUGUCCGGAAUCAUUGGACGUAAAGAGCGUGUAGGCGGCCCGGUAAGUCCGCUGUGAAAGUCGGGGGCUCAACCCUCGAAUGCCGGUGGAUACUGUCGGGCUAGAGUGCGGAAGAGGCGAGUGGAAUUCCUGGUGUAGCGGUGAAAUGCGCAGAUAUCAGGAAGAACACCCGUGGCGAAAGCGGCUCUCUGGAACGGUACUGACGCUGAGACGCGAAAGCGUGGGGAGCGAACAGG
Molecule: ribosomal RNA, 253 nt
Filed under: uncultured bacterium
Lineage: Bacteria
Description: partial 16S ribosomal RNA
Rfam family: Bacterial small subunit ribosomal RNA
Source: RNAcentral